CCCUACGGGGGGCAGCAGUGAGGAAUAUUGGUCAAUGGGCGCAAGCCUGAACCAGCCAAGUCGCGUGAGGGAUGACGGUCCUAUGGAUUGUAAACCUCUUUUGUCGGGGAGCAAGGCCCGCCACGUGUGGCGGGAAGGAGAGUACCCGAAGAAAAAGCAUCGGCUAACUCCGUGCCAGCAGCCGCGGUAAUACGGAGGAUGCGAGCGUUAUCCGGAUUUAUUGGGUUUAAAGGGUGCGCAGGCGGAAGAUCAAGGCAGCGGUAAAAUUGAGAGGCUCAACCUCUUCGAGCCGUUGAAACUGGUUU
RNAcentral lists this ribosomal RNA (305 nucleotides) under uncultured bacterium. RNAcentral's name for it is "bacterial SSU rRNA". It matches the Rfam family "Bacterial small subunit ribosomal RNA", at positions 337 to 639 of the family's 1533-position model. The record is from RNAcentral.